GUCACAUCCCUCUCACCGCCUCGCGGUGUCCCGGUUGGCUGGGGACAGAUGCUCCCCGUGGCGCACCAGCUCCUCUGGAGUCCCUUUGAAGAGUUUUGCUCAGAGACCCCCUUCCCAUAGGUCGCCCUCAACCUCCGCGCCAUGUUCCCGCUUCCUCCCUCCGGGCGCCUGGGGCUCGCUGGUUCAUCUUAGUCGCGGGAAGCCAGGGGCUGCACAGGGGCCACAGCCUGUGGUGAAGGGGGGCAUCCACUCACCAGAGAGGCUGGAGGUGAUGGUCUGGAAGCUGAUGGCCGGCGAUCUGCACUUCCAGCUGAGAUGCGGGCGGUGGUGGUGGUGGUAAAGGAAGAGAGGAGGCAGCGGCUGCUGCUGAAUCGCUCCUCAAUUAUUCAGAUCUUAAACCCCUCCGCACCCCUCCAGCGCCUGCCAGUCUGCUCUCCGGCUUGCCUAUCUCCUCCUCCUUGCAGUCACGUGGCUAGCCCAGCCCCUUCCAUUACUGGGGACCAGCGUCGCUCCCGAACAGCCCCCUCCCGCUUCCGCCGGGUCUGUCACUCACCAGCCUUCCUGAGCUUCCAGGUGAGGCCUCCAGCCUCCAGUGUCUCCCGCUGCGUGGAGCAGAGGAGACCGGUUCUGUGCCCUGAGAAUGCAGUGGAGGACUCCGCAGUGUCGCUGUGCUGAUUGGGAUGGCUUCUGCCAUCAGCUCCACCUCUUCUGGACUCAGCUACCCACCAGGCCUGCUUCCUGUCCCCUGGAAGCUUUCUUCCUCCGGAUUCAAAGACUAAGGAAUCCAAGGUAGUGUAGCACCCUGACUGGACUGGUGUGGAGCCUCUUCUGCUGAAAGCAGUGCUUCUGGAUUGAGGAGGAAAAAAAGGAUGGCACAACUGACACACAGGAUAUGUCAGCACACCUUAAAGGCAUGCUAAAGAAGUAACCCAGGGCUGGAGAAACAGCUCAGUUUAUUGUGUGCCUGCUACGAAAACAUGAAGACUUGUGUUCAGAUCUCCAGCAGCCAUCCAGGCUGGGAGCUGCACUGUGUGUCUGCAGCUCCAGGGCUGGAAAGGGGUGGGGCAGACAGAUCUGAAGCUUGUUGACUAGCCUAGACAAACCAAAGAGCUUCAGACUCAAUGACAGAAUAUUGUCUCAACAAACAAACAAACAAACAAACACAAACAAACAA
Onychomys torridus (southern grasshopper mouse) is the source of this 1174-nucleotide long non-coding RNA. RefSeq lists it as uncharacterized. The record is from RefSeq and is a predicted model, not a curated record. The transcript has 3 exons. Lineage: Eukaryota; Metazoa; Chordata; Mammalia; Rodentia; Cricetidae.